RNAcentral lists this unclassified non-coding RNA (342 nucleotides) under soil metagenome. Its description in RNAcentral is "partial contains 5.8S ribosomal RNA, internal transcribed spacer 2, and large subunit ribosomal RNA". The stretch from base 1 to 119 matches the Rfam family "5.8S ribosomal RNA", at positions 35 to 154 of the family's 154-position model. The record is from RNAcentral.
GAUGAAGACGUAGCGAAAUGCGAUAAGUAAUGUGAAUUGCAGAAUCCAGUGAAUCAUCGAAUCUUUGAACGCACAUUGCGCCCGCCAGCAUUCUGGCGGGCAUGCCUGUUCGAGCGUCAUUUCAACCCUCGACCUCCCUUUGGGGAAGUCGGCGUUGGGGACCGGCAGCACACCGCCGGCCCUGAAAUGGAGUGGCGGCCCGUCCGCGGCGACCUCUGCGUAGUAAACCAACUCGCACCGGAACCCCGACGUGGCCACGCCGUAAAACACCCAACUUCUGAACGUUGACCUCGAAUCAGGUAGGACUACCCGCUGAACUUAAGCAUAUCAAUAAGCGGAGGA